This is a transfer RNA of Camelus ferus (Wild Bactrian camel), 72 nucleotides long. It matches the Rfam family "tRNA". From Rfam's summary of the family: Transfer RNA (tRNA) molecules are approximately 80 nucleotides in length. Their secondary structure includes four short double-helical elements and three loops (D, anti-codon, and T loops). The record is from Rfam. NCBI's taxonomy places the organism in Eukaryota, Metazoa, Chordata, Mammalia, Artiodactyla, Camelidae.
GAGGAUAUAGCUCAGUGAUAGAGUGUAUGCUUAGCAUGAACAAGGUCCUGGGUUCAAUUCUCAGUACCUCCA